GAUUCUCCUGGUGCCGGCGGUGAGAGGAGAAAAGGCUCCUAGAUGGGUUAGUACCAAAAAGGUAGAUCUAGGAUUUUGAAACCCUAAAGAGGAAAAAUUGAAUUUGAGCCCUAAAAUUAGGAAAAGGCUCUAAUACCAUGAAGAAUUUUGGGAAAAUUUAUAGUAUUAUUGUAUUUCACUCUUAAUCUUUACAAUUGGUCUACAUGACUAUUUAUACACAAAGAAUUAUAUUUAAACAGGAAGCAAAUAAUCAAAUAAUAAUUACAGAGAUAAUUAAGGAUCCUAAUCAAAUCAAAUCAUAUCCCUAGAAUCAGCUAGGAUCAGUAAAUAAGUCAACAAAU
RNAcentral lists this long non-coding RNA (341 nucleotides) under Manihot esculenta (cassava). RNAcentral describes it as "long non-coding RNA (MESC_LNC011953)". Lineage: Eukaryota; Viridiplantae; Streptophyta; Magnoliopsida; Malpighiales; Euphorbiaceae. The record is from RNAcentral.